RNAcentral lists this long non-coding RNA (520 nucleotides) under Mytilus galloprovincialis (Mediterranean mussel). The record is from RNAcentral. Lineage: Eukaryota; Metazoa; Mollusca; Bivalvia; Mytilida; Mytilidae.
CUUCGAAGGCAUCUGCAAAUUUCAUCAGUGUCUUUUCUAAACUUAUACCAUUCUGCUUAUCUUGAUUUGUGUCGGUAUUUGGUCGUACAGCUAGAUAUACAUGUACAGUUUUUUGUCCUGUAAAUAUGCAAAACCAACCUAUGCCUUCCUUUUGCCAACUCAUCUUCGUUACAAUUUUAGAAAGAAACUUCUCGAUCAUAGUAUUUGUAACGUGAAUAUUGGUCGUCGGCGUGAAGAAAAGUCUCAUUUCCGUGACAUUAUUUUCCUUAUCUGAUGUUGAACAAUUUUGAAUUACUUUCAUGACAUGCAAAAUGCUUGGAACAAGAUUUUUGUCGAAAGACUCCCGUAUGCUCCAAAAUAUAGUCCAUCUAUCAUCAUGGGACAAAUCACAUAAUGAUAUGACACCAAGUGGUUUUGAAAGACACUGGUUACGUACAGAAGUAGCUUUAUUUUCUACGACAGAACAGUUGAGAUGCAGCCACGGUUUCAAAACAGGAGCUAUUUGGACCUGAAAGCAUUU